RNAcentral lists this ribosomal RNA (500 nucleotides) under uncultured Glomeromycotina. Its description in RNAcentral is "partial small subunit ribosomal RNA". It matches the Rfam family "Eukaryotic small subunit ribosomal RNA", at positions 591 to 1092 of the family's 1831-position model. Lineage: Eukaryota; Fungi; Glomeromycota. The record is from RNAcentral.
CCAAUAGCGUAUAUUAAAGUUGUUGCAGUUAAAAAGCUCGUAGUUGAAUUUCGGGAUCAAUUUAUCGGUCGUGCCAACGGUAUGAACUGGUACAAUUGGUUUCUCCCUUCUGAUGAAGCUCGAUGUCAUUAACUUGGUGUCGGGGGGAAUCAGGACUGUUACUUUGAAAAAAUUAGAGUGUUUAAAGCAGGCCUUGGCUUGAAUACAUUAGCAUGGAAUAAUGAAAUAGGACGUUUGAUCCUAUUUCGUUGGUUUCUAGGAUCGACGUAAUGAUUAAUAGGGAUAGUUGGGGGCAUUAGUAUUCAAUUGUCAGAGGUGAAAUUCUUGGAUUUAUUGAAGACUAACUACUGCGAAAGCAUUUGCCAAGGAUGUUUUCAUUAAUCAAGAACGAAAGUUAGGGGAUCGAAGACGAUCAGAUACCGUCGUAGUCUUAACCAUAAACUAUGCCGACUAGGGAUCGGAUGAUGUUAAUUUUUUAAUGACUCAUUCGGCGCCUUACG